UGAGUGCCAUAGACUAAAGUGAAAAAGAAGUUCUUUUAAAAGAACUUUGUAUAUGAGCCUUAAUUGGAUACAAAGGUCUCGAGUAGCAGUUUAUAAAUGAAAGUGUAAGCAUUCCACCUCAUGACUAAAGCGGCAACGCCCAAAUUGAAAUCAUUAGACCGUUUCUGAAACCAGUAGUGAAGUAUGUUAUUUAAUUCGAUAACCCGCGAAUAACCUUACCACGUUUUGAAUUUAUUAAACAAGUGUUGCACGGCUGUCUUCAGUUAAUGUCGUGAGAUUUUGGUUUGUUCCAUUAAUUAACGAAAACCCUUGUUUCAUUUUUAUAUGAAAUAGUUCACCGUUAUAUUGGAAAGAUAAAAGGGAUCAAGACAAGUCAUCAUGGCCUUAAUAAC
This 392-nucleotide ribosomal RNA is filed under the name Chaetothyriales sp. Its description in RNAcentral is "SSU rRNA". The stretch from base 119 to 392 matches the Rfam family "Bacterial small subunit ribosomal RNA", at positions 874 to 1208 of the family's 1533-position model. The record is from RNAcentral. Lineage: Eukaryota; Fungi; Ascomycota; Eurotiomycetes; Chaetothyriales.